AGAAAGAACCUCAAGAAACCCUUUUCUCUUUCUUUGCAUAUGUCAGAUAUGCAUGUAAGGGGACACCUAGGCAAGGCACUGAAAGCAUGGGAAGAGAGAACCUUCACUUCAAUGUAGCUGUAAACUGAACUGUUUUUUAGAGUGUCAGGUUUAUAAAUAGCAUUUGGUUAAAUAGAUUUUCACGUGGUUCUUUCGCCUGCUUCUUUGGCAACCCAACGGUGUAUGUAACUGCUUGCAGAUGUUGUUCUGGAUACUGAACAGAGGGAAACAGUUCUGAACAGUAGGAAAGCACCGAUUUACACUUGGUUAGAGGCAUUUGUACACCUGUAAGUGGAAGGGACAGUGAGGAAGCAAAUGAGGCAAUCCUACUUCCCUCUCCAAACCUUCCCUCCACCCCCCUCUUACUGGUUAUGAAAAGGUGAUCUAGAGAGUAGGGAUGAGGGUAGCCUGAGAAGAUUACAAAAAAAAAAAAAAAAAUAAUGUAGGGAAUGAUUUAUUUUAGUAAUAGGAUCUUUCCUGCAUCAAUCUGACCUAGUAACUUUUCCUAGAACAGAGUAGAUCUUUGUGGAACACUUUAGGUUUGCUAGGGUUGAACUUGAAUCUAGCAGGAUGAGAUAGGUUGGGUUCAGAUGGCUUUAGAGAAAACAUAUGUUUGGCCAGCACUGGUCUAAGUAGAGAGCAUCUAAUUGAGGUUAAGGGAAUUGAGGUUAAAUCCAGCAUCUCCGUAAUCCUGCAGCCUUUUUAAGAAUACCAUGAUUCCAGAGGAAUGCAAUAUCUAGUUGUAGCUGGUCUGUAGAUUCUAUAAACAUGGUAGUAUUAGCCUUUCUCUUCUUUUUGCCUCUGUGUGAGGCACUGUGAGCAUAUGAGUUCAAUUAUGAUGAGAGCUGAAUUGAGUUUGAUGCUGCUAGAAGAGGGAGAUCUUGCUCUAAUUAUGUGGUUUCAUGCCCUGUGAUACCCACCCUUCCUUUAUGCCAGCUUUAGUAUUCAUCUGAUCUGUAUAAGCCAGGUGCACUACAAAAAUAUGUAAUUGUUGAAUGGUUGUUAUUCUGCUGGUUUCACUGGCUUGACAAGACCUACAUUGCAGUCAGGGCUAGCUCAAGGUAGAAAACUUACGAAUGGAGGGAGAGAAGCAUGCAGGACAGCUUCCCGCUUCUCACCUUUGACAAGAAUGAACUACUAAGGCCAUAUCAUAAAACACUUUGUUGUUGCUUUUUGUGAAGCAUGUUUGGCUUUUUUACAUGUUAAACAGAAGGAUAGCCUCCAAGCUCUUUUCUGCAGUAAU
Neopsephotus bourkii (Bourke's parrot) is the source of this 1282-nucleotide long non-coding RNA. RefSeq lists it as uncharacterized. Lineage: Eukaryota; Metazoa; Chordata; Aves; Psittaciformes; Psittacidae. The transcript has 3 exons. The record is from RefSeq and is a predicted model, not a curated record.